Molecule: long non-coding RNA, 97 nt
Organism: Thalassophryne amazonica
Lineage: Eukaryota; Metazoa; Chordata; Actinopteri; Batrachoidiformes; Batrachoididae
Exons: 4
Source: RefSeq, a predicted model, not a curated record
GGGAAAAUUAGUGCAGAAAAUCCACAAUGGUGAUAGUGUAGUUUAUGUGAAAGGGAGGGAAAUUUGUCAGGAACCACAUUUAACUCCAGCAAUUCAA